AGUCGAACGCGCAGCGAAAGGUGCUUGCACCUUUCAAGCGAGUGGCGAACGGGUGAGUAACACGUGGAUAACCUGCCUCAAGGCUGGGGAUAACAUUUGGAAACAGAUGCUAAUACCGAAUAAAACUUAGUAUCGCAUGAUACAAAGUUGAAAGGCGCUACGGCGUCACCUAGAGAUGGGUCCGCGGUGCAUUAGUUAGUUGGUGGGGUAAAGGCCUACCAAGACAAUGAUGCAUAGCCGAGUUGAGAGACUGAUCGGCCACAUUGGGACUGAGACACGGCCCAAACUCCUACGGGAGGCUGCAGUAGGGAAUCUUCCACAAUGGGCGCAAGCCUGAUGGAGCAACGCCGCGUGUGUGAUGAAGGCUUUCGGGUCGUAAAGCACUGUUGUAUGGGAAGAAAUGCUAGAAUAGGGAAUGAUUCUAGUUCGACGGUACCAUACCAGAAAGGGACGGCUAAAUACGUGCCAGCAGCCGCGGUAAUACGUAUGUCCCGAGCGUUAUCCGGAUUUAUUGGGCGUAAAGCGAGCGCAGACGGUUGAUUAAGUCUGAUGUGAAAGCCCGGAGCUCAACUCCGGAAUGGCAUUGGAAACUGGUUAACUUGAGUGUUGUAGAGGUAAGUGGAACUCCAUGUGUAGCGGUGGAAUGCGUAGAUAUAUGGAAGAACACCAGUGGCGAAGGCGGCUUACUGGACAACAACUGACGUUGAGGCUCGAAAGUGUGGGUAGCAAACAGGAUUAGAUACCCUGGUAGUCCACACCGUAAACGAUGAAUACUAGGUGUUAGGAGGUUUCCGCCUCUUAGUGCC
RNAcentral lists this ribosomal RNA (806 nucleotides) under Leuconostoc lactis. RNAcentral's name for it is "bacterial SSU rRNA". It matches the Rfam family "Bacterial small subunit ribosomal RNA", at positions 60 to 847 of the family's 1533-position model. The record is from RNAcentral. Lineage: Bacteria; Bacillati; Bacillota; Bacilli; Lactobacillales; Lactobacillaceae.